This 85-nucleotide non-coding RNA is filed under the name Pseudomonas panipatensis. Lineage: Bacteria; Pseudomonadati; Pseudomonadota; Gammaproteobacteria; Pseudomonadales; Pseudomonadaceae. The record is from RNAcentral.
CGCUAUGGCAGAUCGCGCGGGGAGACCCUCGUGGUCUGCCGGUUCCGACGUCCGGUCUGUCAACCCCGCGUGGUCUGCCUCCAUU